RNAcentral lists this ribosomal RNA (881 nucleotides) under uncultured bacterium. RNAcentral's name for it is "bacterial SSU rRNA". It matches the Rfam family "Bacterial small subunit ribosomal RNA", at positions 94 to 954 of the family's 1533-position model. The record is from RNAcentral.
AGCGGCGCACGGGUGCGUAACACGUGGGUAAUCUGCCAUGAAGUUUGGGAUAACUCGCUGAAAGGCGAGCUAAUACCGGAUGUGACGAUCGGGAGGCAUCUUCUGAUCUUCAAAGUUGGGGACCGUAAGGCCUGACGCUUCAUGAUGAGCCCGCGGCCUAUCAGCUAGUUGGUGAGGUAACGGCUCACCAAGGCUAAGACGGGUAGCUGGUCUGAGAGGACGACCAGCCACACUGGAACUGAGACACGGUCCAGACACCUACGGGUGGCAGCAGUCGAGAAUUUUUCACAAUGGGGGAAACCCUGAUGGAGCGACGCCGCGUGGGGGAUGAAUGGCUUCGGCCCGUAAACCCCUGUCAUUCGCGAACAAUGCCUGUGGUCUAAUAAAUCACAGGUUGAUAGUAGCGGAAGAGGAAGGGACGGCUAACUCUGCGCCAGCAGCCGCGGUAAUACAGAGGUCCCAAGCGUUGUUCGGAUUCACUGGGCGUAAAGGGUGCGCAGGUGGCCGGGUAAGUCUGAUGUGAAAUCUCGGAGCUCAACUCCGAAACUGCAUUGGAUACUAUCCGGCUGGAGGGUCGGAGGGGGGACUGGAAUUCUCGGUGUAGCAGUGAAAUGCGUAGAUAUCGAGAGGAACACCAGUGGCGAAGGCGAGUCCCUGGACGACUCCUGACACUGAGGCACGAAAGCUAGGGGAGCAAACAGGAUUAGAUACCCUGGUAGUCCUAGCCGUAAACGGUGCAUAUUUGCUGUAAAAGGAAUCGACCCCUUUUGUGGCGAAGCUAACGCGUUAAAUAUGCCGCCUGGGGAGUACGGUCGCAAGAUUAAAACUCAAAGGAAUUGACGGGGGCCUGCACAAGCGGUGGAGUAUGUGGCUUAAUUCGA